RNAcentral lists this ribosomal RNA (253 nucleotides) under uncultured bacterium. Its description in RNAcentral is "partial 16S ribosomal RNA". It matches the Rfam family "Bacterial small subunit ribosomal RNA", at positions 524 to 776 of the family's 1533-position model. The record is from RNAcentral.
UACGGGGGGGGCAAGCGUUGUUCGGAAUUACUGGGCGUAAAGGGCGCGUAGGCGGCCAACUAAGUCAGACGUGAAAUCCCCCGGCUUAACCAGGGAACUGCGUCUGAUACUGGAUGGCUUGAGUUUGGGAGAGGGAUGCGGAAUUCCAGGUGUAGCGGUGAAAUGCGCAGAUAUCAGGAGGAACACCCAUAGCGAAGGCGGCACUCUGGGCCGAUACUGACACUGAGGAGCGAAAGCGUGGGGAGCGAACAGG